This 180-nucleotide ribosomal RNA is filed under the name Triticum aestivum (bread wheat). RNAcentral's name for it is "partial small subunit ribosomal RNA". Lineage: Eukaryota; Viridiplantae; Streptophyta; Magnoliopsida; Poales; Poaceae. The record is from RNAcentral.
AAAGCCCUUGCCUCAUUGAUGAUGCUCAUCGCAUGGGAGAUUUGGUACGAGAGAAACGCUAGAGUCUUCCGCAACGUGGCGGUCCCUUCGGUGGUCAUCAUUAACAAGAUCAAGCAUGAGGUGUCGCUCUGGGUUUUGGCGGGUGCCAAGCAUUUGGGUAUUGUAAUGCCGCGAGAGUAG